This 504-nucleotide ribosomal RNA is filed under the name uncultured bacterium. Its description in RNAcentral is "partial 16S ribosomal RNA". It matches the Rfam family "Bacterial small subunit ribosomal RNA", at positions 28 to 523 of the family's 1533-position model. The record is from RNAcentral.
GAUAAACGCUAGCGGCAGGCUUAACACAUGCAAGUCGAGGGGCAGCAUAGAUUGUAGCAAUACAAUUGGUGGCGACCGGCGCACGGGUGCGUAACGCGUAUGCAACCUACCCGUCACAGGGGGAUAAUCCGGAGAAAUCUGGUCUAAUACCCCAUAACAUAUGGAUCGGCAUCGGGUCAUGUUGAAAUUUUCGGAGGUGACGGAUGGGCAUGCGUAGCAUUAGCUUGUUGGUGAGGUAACGGCUCACCAAGGCGACGAUGCUUAGGGGGACUGAGAGGUUUUCCCCCCACACAGCUACUGAGACACGGACCAGACUCCUACGGGAGGCAGCAGUGAGGAAUAUUGGUCAAUGGGCGCAAGCCUGAACCAGCCAUGCCGCGUGCAGGAUGACGGCUCUAUGAGUUGUAAACUGCUUUUGUACGAGGGUAAAGUGGGUUACGUGUAACCUUUUGAAAGUAUCGUACGAAUAAGGAUCGGCUAACUCCGUGCCAGCCGCCGCGGUAA